This 67-nucleotide microRNA precursor is filed under the name Bombyx mori (domestic silkworm). RNAcentral describes it as "mir-2774 microRNA precursor family". It matches the Rfam family "mir-2774 microRNA precursor family". Lineage: Eukaryota; Metazoa; Arthropoda; Insecta; Lepidoptera; Bombycidae. The record is from Rfam by way of RNAcentral.
ACAACAUUCGGACCGUCGGUCUACCGAGCAAUAUCAUCCGCUCGGUGGAAGAUCUCCUCUCCGUCGU